GCCGGCUUAGCUCAGUGGUAGAGCAACUGAUUUGUAAUCAGUAGGUCGCGAGUUCGACUCUCGCAGCCGGCUCCA
Molecule: transfer RNA, 75 nt
Filed under: Luteolibacter sp.
Lineage: Bacteria; Pseudomonadati; Verrucomicrobiota; Verrucomicrobiia; Verrucomicrobiales; Verrucomicrobiaceae
Also listed under: 1 other name
Description: tRNA-Thr
Rfam family: tRNA
About the family: Transfer RNA (tRNA) molecules are approximately 80 nucleotides in length.
Source: RNAcentral